This 546-nucleotide long non-coding RNA is filed under the name Apteryx rowi (Okarito brown kiwi). Its description in RNAcentral is "lncRNA (ENSARWG00000015535.1)". Lineage: Eukaryota; Metazoa; Chordata; Aves; Apterygiformes; Apterygidae. The record is from RNAcentral.
AUGCAGAUGCUAUCAUUUAUCACAAUUAUUUUAAAAGCCCUAAUCUCGCACUUCAUAGAAUUCUUCACAUCCACUUGCAUGUCAAGCGCUGCAAGAGGGUGUGUUUGCACAUGGAAAUGCUGCAUCCUGCGAUCUGCCCGGCUGGGAGGAGCAGCCGUGGAGCCGGCAGCGGCUGGGCGAGCUCGCCCGGCGCGGAGGGGUUAYUGUGUUAAUUUUCACGUUCGCUUUGAUACUCUUGGCUUGCAUGGAAGGUGCCUGUCGAUGCACUCACUGCUGCCCGUGCAUACACAAGACCAUGACCACUGCCCUGGAGAAGCAUCUUGCGUUCAGAAGGACACACGACCGUGCACGGCGACCGUAUUCCUGCAGGGUGUUUUGCAAAAGCUCGGAGGCCGGAAGGGCGCUUGGCCGGUGUCGAAGUGCCCGUCRCGCUGCAAGCGAUGGAGAGUUUGGGUUUCUGCCGGAGGAGUUCAGGCCGCGCGAGCGGGAGCCGGGUUGGUCGGACUCCAGCGAGGCAGUCAUGUGGAACUAACACCGUGUUAUUAA